AAAAAGGAUCACAAUAUAUAAAUACUAGAUUUGGUAUUACUGUGUAACAGCUUUAUACUUUUUCAUAUAGUAUACAGCAAUAUAAUCCUCUGAAACCUAAGGAGAAUAAAGUUUUGAGAAGAUUGGAGAAAGUGUGCAGUUGCAGCAAUACAGGUAUAAAGAAAGCUGGGAACUGAGUUUUCCCAGGGCUAAAAUUUUGCUGGGAAAUAGAGCAAGAGGAGAGAAACAAAGCUAUUGAAGUUUUGCAGAAGAGUGAUCAUAAUGGACAGUGGACAGGAACCAUGAGAACUGGAAGAGAAGAUAAGUAGCUGGUUCUGCCUUUAUUGCUAAUGGAGAAAGAUUCAACAGAACAUUCUGGAUGGUGGCUACCUGGGUGUAGACAUAGGAAGCAAAUGAGAAGAGAUGAUCCCUUUUGGAGACAACCACAUUCAGUGACCAAACUGCCUUACUGAGCUGUGUGAGCCAGAA
Molecule: long non-coding RNA, 468 nt
Organism: Eptesicus fuscus (big brown bat)
Lineage: Eukaryota; Metazoa; Chordata; Mammalia; Chiroptera; Vespertilionidae
Exons: 4
Source: RefSeq, a predicted model, not a curated record